Molecule: long non-coding RNA, 591 nt
Organism: Cataglyphis hispanica
Lineage: Eukaryota; Metazoa; Arthropoda; Insecta; Hymenoptera; Formicidae
Exons: 3
Source: RefSeq, a predicted model, not a curated record
CCGGUGCGCCAGCAGGCACAUCAGCCGAUGCCAGCUGAUACAACAGCAAGUGUUCUCGCUGGGUGAUGUGGACGUGCAAGGCCAGUCCAACAGGGGCCUAGGCAGUCAAACCAACAGGAGCCUCCUGUCCUGCAGGGGCCUGGACUACUUGCCCAGCAAGAAUCAGGAUCUGUCCAGCAGGGGCAGACAAGGCCUGUUCAGCAAAAGCAGCCAGUUGCUUUAUAUUGGAGAAGGCGAGCGGGCCGAAGAGAAUAACAGUUCUUGAAUUUCUUGUAUAAAUUGUCGGCUCCUAGUUUAUAUUGGGGAGAAAGAAGAGGAAGAGGAAGUGGAAGGAGAAGAGGAAGAGGAAAUUAAUAAAAGGAAAGAAGACAGACAAAGACAGGACGUUAUGGAUUUAAUUUAUGUAAUUUAAAAUAUUUAUGUAAUGGUAUAGUUUACAUCGAUGUAUUUUAAUAUGUACUAAAUAUUACACUGGCCAUUCCUUUAAAGAAUGGAAUAGCUGUGAUUGAUCAGUAUAGAAUUUAAUAUGUAUAUAUAUUAAAGUGUAUCGGUCUAACUAGACUAAUGUUAAAAUAAUGUAAACAUUAUUGA